RNAcentral lists this ribosomal RNA (200 nucleotides) under uncultured bacterium. RNAcentral's name for it is "partial 16S ribosomal RNA". It matches the Rfam family "Bacterial small subunit ribosomal RNA", at positions 30 to 242 of the family's 1533-position model. The record is from RNAcentral.
AUUGAACGCUGGCGGCAGGCCUAACACAUGCAAGUCGAGCGGGGUUUUCGGACCUAGCGGCGGACGGGUGAGUAAUGCGUAGGAAGCCGCCCGAUAGAGGGGGAUACCAGUUGGAAACGACUGUUAAUACCGCAUAAUGUCUACGGACCAAAGUGUGGGACCUUCGGGCCACAUGCUAUCGGAUGCGCCUACGUGGGAUU